GCUGCGAUGGCGUGUCCGACAGCAAACCAGGGAAGGGAAGAGAGAGGAGAGAGGGAAAGGAGGUGGCGUGGACGUGUCCCAGACUGCAUGCCCUCUAAGGAAGGGUCAGCGAGUCCUCCAGCCAAAGUCAGCUAUCCGUGGAUGUCUUCCAGGAACCGGCGUUAGAUCCUUGCAGCAGUCAGCCACUCACAGGGAGCUGCCCGCGGGGAGGGCAGCCCAGGGCACACAGCCAUGGAUGUCUGCGCGCAGCCGCCUGGGCCCUUGAUUUGUUGACGCUUCUCGUUGAUGAUGGUCCGUGAGACGCAUGCUCAUUACCACCACCGCCCACCCCCUUGCCCCACACAGAUCUAUUUCUCCAACCAGGAAAGUUCAGAAAGCAGCUCCUCCAGGGUUCCCAGGGGCCUUUCUUCCUGAGCGACAAACCACAGCCCCCGUGACGGCCGAGGGUCUUGGAGCAUCCUAACCCCUCCUCCGCCCUGCAUUUAAAUUCCCCUCACCCUCAGCUAUCAGGUCAGUAGGUGUCGGUAGCUUACCUGAUGGGAUGACCCUCAUUCCUGAAGGGUCUAAAUUAGAAUCAUACCCUGCUCAGUCUGGAGUGACUGCACCUGCGUAUUCACAGAUACAAGUGGGUGAGGGAGCCGCAGGAGGCACCUGAGCCCAGCCCCUGGGUUCUGCCCCUGUUCCUCCCCGCCCCCACUAGGUAAAAAAGCCCCUGCCUCCUGCUGCUGAUUAGGUCAAUAACGCAUGCCAAUAAGAUGAUUUCUCUUUUAACCUGCUGAUCCUUGCGAACGAGGCAUCCUGAGUGUCCCGGCAGCAGCUUCCACUUGCCGUUCAACAAGACCCUUGCUGUGUCUCCUGGCCAGAGUGUGUCCUCUUUUGGAUCCGGACCUCCAACCCUGCAGAACCCAGAGUCGCAGAGCAGGAAGCCCCAAAUCCCCCAGUGGGUCUUAGAGACUGGUGGAUCUGCCAGAAUUCAUGGCCUAAGCAGCAGGGCAAUUGCACCACAGUCUGGACUUGCUGAAGCACCCCUUUCUACUCUGAGCCUCCACUCGAAGAUGGUCACCUUUAGUGUCCCUCAGUAUAUGG
Molecule: long non-coding RNA, 1086 nt
Filed under: Homo sapiens (human)
Lineage: Eukaryota; Metazoa; Chordata; Mammalia; Primates; Hominidae
Description: HSALNT0345124
Source: RNAcentral